CCGUUCCCAUCCCGAACACGGUAGUUAAGCUUCUCCGCGCCAAUGGUAGUUGGGGGUUUCCCCCUGCGAGAGUAGGUCGCUGCCGGGC
Molecule: ribosomal RNA, 88 nt
Filed under: Listeria swaminathanii
Lineage: Bacteria; Bacillati; Bacillota; Bacilli; Caryophanales; Listeriaceae
Source: RNAcentral